Molecule: long non-coding RNA, 473 nt
Organism: Clarias gariepinus (North African catfish)
Lineage: Eukaryota; Metazoa; Chordata; Actinopteri; Siluriformes; Clariidae
Exons: 5
Source: RefSeq, a predicted model, not a curated record
ACAUUUUGUUGGCAUCUUUAUUUGUGACCGUCUAUUGCCUAUUUGAAAUGACGCUUUUUGCUCUCAUUGGAACUACCAUAACAUAUUUUGCCCACUUAUGGAUGUUUCCAUUUGAGGCAGUAAUGUACAUCAUUGCUUGGCUAGCAGUGAUAUUUCUGUCUCGAAAUUAUAGACAAGACUGUUGCUCUCAACAGAGAGGGAUAGGAUAUUUGUGUUGCAGUGUCAUUGUCUUGUUUAUAAUUAUUGCAUUUGGUGCCAUCUGCUUUUACUUUGCAACUACAGUAUUCAUAAACACAGAAGAUCAUGCUGGGGGCUUGGCUUUGAUGGCUUUACUCCAGGUUUUAGCAGCAACGUCCUUAUUCAAGCAUCCCAAACAGUUACCUGGUUGUCUUCACAUUAUGAUCUACAUGUUUGGAUCAGUAGGACUCAUUAUUAUCAAUUCAGUUGCUCUUGUAAUGGAACUGAUUUUGAAA